RNAcentral lists this ribosomal RNA (403 nucleotides) under Fusobacteriota bacterium. RNAcentral's name for it is "Fusobacteria bacterium partial 16S ribosomal RNA". It matches the Rfam family "Bacterial small subunit ribosomal RNA", at positions 355 to 776 of the family's 1533-position model. Lineage: Bacteria; Fusobacteriati; Fusobacteriota. The record is from RNAcentral.
UGGGGAAUAUUGCACAAUGGAGGGAACUCUGAUGCAGCGACGCCGCGUGAACGAAGAAGGCUUUCGAGUCGUAAAGUUCUUUUAUAUGGGAAGAUAAUGACGGUACCAUAAGAAAAAGCCCCGGCUAACUACGUGCCAGCAGCCGCGGUAAUACGUAGGGGGCUAGCGUUGUCCGGAAUCACUGGGCGUAAAGGGUUCGCAGGCGGAAAUGCAAGUCAGGUGUAAAAGGCAGUAGCUUAACUACUGUAAGCAUUUGAAACUGCAUAUCUUGAGAAGAGUAGAGGUAAGUGGAAUUUUUAGUGUAGCGGUGAAAUGCGUAGAUAUUAAAAAGAAUACCAGUGGCGAAGGCGACUUACUGAGCUCAUUCUGACGCUGAGGAACGAAAGCGUGGGUAGCAAACAGG